AUGCAGUGCGUGGUGGAGGGACGGCAGCAAGCUGCUCUUCAUCCCUGCAGGGAAGGAGGUGCAGGCAGCAGCUGGGUUGGUGCUGUGUUGGAUGUGCAAGAGCCCCUGGUUCCAGGCAGAGAGCGGUGGGGUCUGAUCCUGCUCUGCAGCCCGGCCCCACUGCUGCUGCAGGGAAUGGUCCACGCGCUGCCAGGUGGAGAGAACAGGAGGGUCAUGCUGUUAGACAGAGCUGGAGCCGGGCGGCUGGCUGUUGCUGUUGCUCUCAGAAGGGGUCUUGGCAGUGGAGGAGGUAGCCAUGGAGCCGCUGUUCCUGAAGAUGCGGAGGAGCCUCCUCUUAUAGCCUCGGAAGGCAAAGAAGUAGAUGAUGGGGUCGAUGCAGCAGUUGAAGUUCAUGAAUGCCACGGUGACUUGCAGGGACAUCUUGAAGGCCUGCUGCUCACGGCAAGAUGGCUGGUGGAGGAUCUUCCUGACCAUGAACUGGACGAUGUUGAUGUGGUAGGGGCUGAAGCAAAGCAGGAGGGCCAGCAGCACCACCAAGAUGACUGUGAAGGCCCGGCGGUGGUGCCCAUUCCUUACUGUCAGUGGGUUCUCCUUGGCGGUCUGGCAGAGCUUGAGGUUGAUCUGCACGUAGCACGCCAAGAUGAUGCCCACAGGCAGGAAGAAGCCGAGCACACAAGCCACCAGGAGCAGGUAGGGCAGCUUGGGAAUCUCCUCGAAGUUGAAGUACUCCAUGCAUGUCAACUUGUCGCCCAUCUGGCGCGUCAUGGGCCGCAGCAGCAGCGGUGCUGUCUGCAGGAACACCAGGAACCAGACGAGGGCGCAGACAGCCCUGGCACGGCUGACCCUGCGGGUCCUGCCAGGGUGCCUGGUGCGCACCACAGCGACGUAGCGGUCCACGCUGACGCAGGUCAUGAAGUAGAUGCUCACAUAGGUGUUCAUGUAGAAAACAAAGGCGGUCAGCCGGCAGAACCAGUCCCCGAAGGGCCAGUUAAACUCCAGGACAUAGUAGGCGAUCCUGCCAGGCAGCGCCAGUGUGAAGAGGGCGUCGGACAGAGCUAG
This 1059-nucleotide long non-coding RNA is filed under the name Coturnix japonica (Japanese quail). RNAcentral describes it as "lncRNA (ENSCJPG00005016155.1)". Lineage: Eukaryota; Metazoa; Chordata; Aves; Galliformes; Phasianidae. The record is from RNAcentral.